GUUUAAUGAAGUGAAAUUCAUCAACUUAAGUCCUAAAGGGGGUUCAUUUUCAAUGGUUUUAGACCCAACUCUCAACGGUGAAAAUAUGCGAUUCUGACUAACAUUUUUUAUCGGAUUCGUAUUUGCUCAUUUUUUAUCCAUUUGACAUGAAGGAGAUAUCACUCAACAGCUAAAAGCAUGAUCUUUCCGAAUGUGAAAAAAUCUCGUUCAUACGCAGAGUAAUUCAGAUACAAUAGCGCGCUGAAGUUCGAUUACCUUUUUUUUAUACACCCUGUAUAAUAAAGCGUUUUAUAUUGUGGAAUUGAAAUAUAGUAUUCGUGACCAUGUAAAAUCUCUGAUUACCAGUAACAGGCUAGUAACAGGCAGACUAGGCAGUAGAGAAUCUUCUGUAAUGAUGUGUAGAUAUGUAAAAAUAUUUGACAUAAAAUUGACUAAAAUAAAACAGCACCAGGAAAGGAAUUGAAUGUGUUUAAACUGACACAGCAUAUACAAUAUACAACCAAUAUAUUUAUUAUUGCAAAGCUUUCAAUGUGUAAGAUCGUCAUCAGUGCUAUUAAUAUAUGAAUUGUAUUCGUUCACUCAAUUUGCUAUUCAGCAGCACCCUAAAAAACUGCUUGACCAUACAUUUUCUGCUUUGCGAAUAGCAUAGAUUUAUAUCUAUGGCGAAUAGCGAUUAGCGGAACUUCUACUGUUAGCGCAUGUCGAUUUCUUGAAACGAUUUAAUUGAUUUGUGAGCUCACGAGAAAAUACUCAGAAUGCUUUAGUUAAAUAUCAUGGUUAAAUAUGUAAACAUGUUGAGGUUGUUAUACAGCCAUAUUUUCAAAUAUACUGUACUUUAACAAGCAAAUUCACUGUACUGUGUUACAGCAACUGUCCAGUCACGCAUACGUGAUAAAAAGUCGAUAUAAACUUUAUAAACAAAAGAUAAUGUAAAACGUAACAGAACGGCAAACAUGCAGAUUCGGCCAUCUCAAAUAAUGGUAAUGUUGGGAUAGUAGCGUUGCAGACUGCAGAGGAGAGUGGGCAGUAAGGCUCCCUCAUGCACCACCCCAUGGAAAACCUGCACCCCUCCUUGCAGAUGAGGUC
This is a non-coding RNA of Paramuricea clavata, 1086 nucleotides long. NCBI's taxonomy places the organism in Eukaryota, Metazoa, Cnidaria, Anthozoa, Malacalcyonacea, Plexauridae. The record is from the annotation of a GenBank genome assembly.